Molecule: ribosomal RNA, 468 nt
Filed under: uncultured bacterium
Lineage: Bacteria
Description: partial 16S ribosomal RNA
Rfam family: Bacterial small subunit ribosomal RNA
Source: RNAcentral
GACGAACGCUGGCGGCGUGCUUAACACAUGCAAGUCGAACGGAAAGGCCCUGCCUUUGUGGGGUGCUCGAGUGGCGAACGGGUGAGUAACACGUGAGUAACCUGCCCUUGACUUUGGGAUAACUUCAGGAAACUGGGGCUAAUACCGGAUAGGAGCUCCUGCUGCAUGGUGGGGGCUGGAAAGUUUCGGUGGUUGGGCAUGGACUCGCGGCUUAUCAGCUUGUUGGGGGGGUAGUGGAUUACCAAGGCUUUGACGGGUAGCCGGCCUGAGAGGGUGACCGGCCACAUUGGGACUGGGAUGCGACCCGGACUCCAACGGGAGGCAGCGGUGGAGAAUAUAGCACGAUGGGCGGAGGCAUGGUGCAACAACGCCGCGUGCGGGAUGACGGCCUUCGGGUUGUAAACCGCUUUCGCCUGUGACGAAGCGUGAGUGACGGUAAUGGGUAAAGAAGCACCGGCUAACUACGUG